AACGAACGCUGGCGGCAUGCCUAACACAUGCAAGUCGAACGAACCAUUCGGGGUUAGUGGCGCACGGGUGCGUAACGCGUGGGAAUCUGCCCUUGGCUUCGGAAUAACAGUUAGAAAUGACUGCUAAUACCGGAUGAUGUCGCAAGACCAAAGAUUUAUCGGCCAGGGAUGAGCCCGCGUAGGAUUAGGUAGUUGGUGGGGUAAAGGCCUACCAAGCCGACGAUCCUUAGCUGGUCUGAGAGGAUGAUCAGCCACACUGGGACUGAGACACGACCCAGACUCCUACGGGAGGCAGCAGUGGGGAAUAUUGGACAAUGGGGGCAACCCUGAUCCAGCAAUGCCGCGUGAGUGAUGAAGGCCUUAGGGUUGUAAAGCUCUUUUACCCGGGAUGAUAAUGACAGUACCGGGAGAAUAAGCUCCGGCUAACUCCGUGCCAGCCGCCGCAGUAA
Molecule: ribosomal RNA, 449 nt
Filed under: uncultured bacterium
Lineage: Bacteria
Description: partial 16S ribosomal RNA
Rfam family: Bacterial small subunit ribosomal RNA
Source: RNAcentral